CAAAGAAUUUGCCCUAGUUUUUAAUUUUAUGGAUAAGCUGUUGUCGCCGUUAAGAAGCGUUCGCUCCGACCUACCUAAUCUGCUCCCACGUAGGGCAAAUUCCUUGCGGGUGAAAGCUCCAGAGCGUCCCACGUGGAGGUAUAUGUGCCCAUUGAGCGACGGAGAGCUAAGAGCUAGAGCCCAGAGGGAGUUCAGACUUCAAAGCAUCUCCCUGAAAGGAGGAGGAGAAGCCAUGAAGGAUGAAGAGAAGUCACGGCCCCACAGUUAUAUCAGGAGCUUUUCUUGUGACAGGGGAUGGUAAUUGUCACACCUUCAGCCUUCCUUCAAUCAUGGAAGCCUCCUCCAUGUGAAGGAAAUUAAUGUCCCUCAUCCAUUGAAGUACAAAAAUCAGUUUGAUAAUGAUGAGAACCUGACAAGGGAAAACGAAGCAAAGUUCUUUCAGCAUUCGGUUCUACUACUUCACAAAUGUCAGUAUUCUUACUUCUGGCACGCUGAUGGUGUGGACAAAGAAGAUAUGACAUUGUUUCUCUUUGCAUGCCUUAGGCUAUAGGGUGUCUAUUUAUGGGGUGCGAGAACCUCAGGGCAGUCCAUCAAAGAGAAUACUUGUAUGAGGUGCAAGACAAUGAUUCUGGUGUUCUCUUGUUUUGAGAAAAAAUGAUUUAGAAUAACAGUCAUAUUACAGCAAUAAGUUGUAAAGAUGUGUUGAGGACUCAUUAGCUCGAACUUGUAUAUAUCUUGUGGAAUAAAUUUAAAUUCCCAAAUUUCUAA
Molecule: long non-coding RNA, 768 nt
Organism: Elaeis guineensis (African oil palm)
Lineage: Eukaryota; Viridiplantae; Streptophyta; Magnoliopsida; Arecales; Arecaceae
Source: RefSeq, a predicted model, not a curated record